RNAcentral lists this ribosomal RNA (280 nucleotides) under uncultured bacterium. Its description in RNAcentral is "partial 16S ribosomal RNA". It matches the Rfam family "Bacterial small subunit ribosomal RNA", at positions 29 to 309 of the family's 1533-position model. The record is from RNAcentral.
ACGAACGCUGGCGGCGUGCUUAACACAUGCAAGUCGAGCGGUAAGGCCCUUUCGGGGGUACGACGAGCGGCGAACGGGUGAGUAACACGUGGGUGACCUGCCCUCAGCUCUGGGAUAAGCCGUGGGAAACCGGGUCUAAUACUGGAUAUGACUCCAUGACGCAUGUUGUGGGGUGGAAAGCCUUGUGCGGCUGAGGAUGGGCCCGCGGCCUAUCAGCUUGUUGGUGGGGUGANGGCCUACCAAGGCGACGACGGGUAGCCGGCCUGAGAGGCGACCGGCC